UUUAUCAGUACUAAUAAUGCCAGAGAGUGAAAGUAAACACACCAUUGAACAUCAAACUGUGAAAACAGUAUGUUUCGGGUUGAUGUUUAUCUUUGUUCUUGCUCAGAUGGCAGUAGGAGCACAGUACCAAGAUGACUGUGCAAGGCAGCCUUUUAUCCCCAUCUAUCUGCAAGGAUUUGUAGCCAUCUUCUUCUUCAUCUACUGGUG
Molecule: long non-coding RNA, 207 nt
Organism: Thunnus maccoyii (southern bluefin tuna)
Lineage: Eukaryota; Metazoa; Chordata; Actinopteri; Scombriformes; Scombridae
Exons: 3
Source: RefSeq, a predicted model, not a curated record